CCCGGUGACCAUACCCGGAAGGCCACACCCGUUCCCAUCCCGAACACGGUCGUUAAGCUUCCGGGGCCGAUGGUAGUGCAACAAACGCGAGAGUAGGUGUUGCCGGGA
Molecule: ribosomal RNA, 108 nt
Filed under: Planctomycetota bacterium
Lineage: Bacteria; Pseudomonadati; Planctomycetota
Also listed under: 1 other name
Source: RNAcentral